Molecule: transfer RNA, 63 nt
Rfam family: tRNA
About the family: Transfer RNA (tRNA) molecules are approximately 80 nucleotides in length. Their secondary structure includes four short double-helical elements and three loops (D, anti-codon, and T loops).
GGUAGUUCAGUUGGUUAGAAUGCCGGCCUGUCACGCCGGAGGUCGCGGGUUCGAGUCCCGUCC